Molecule: ribosomal RNA, 253 nt
Filed under: uncultured bacterium
Lineage: Bacteria
Description: partial 16S ribosomal RNA
Rfam family: Bacterial small subunit ribosomal RNA
Source: RNAcentral
UACGAAGGGGGCUAGCGUUGUUCGGAUUUACUGGGCGUAAAGCGCACGUAGGCGGAUCGUUAAGUCGGGGGCGAAAUCCUGGAGCUCAACUCCAGAACUGCCUUCGAUACUGGCGAUCUUGAGUCCGGAAGAGGUGAGUGGAACUCCUAGUGUAGAGGUGGAAUUCGUAGAUAUUAGGAAGAACACCAGUGGCGAAGGCGGCUCACUGGUCCGGUACUGACGCUGAGGUGCGAAAGCGUGGGGAGCAAACAGG